Molecule: ribosomal RNA, 477 nt
Filed under: uncultured organism
Description: partial 16S ribosomal RNA
Rfam family: Bacterial small subunit ribosomal RNA
Source: RNAcentral
UACACUCCUACGGGAGGCAGCAGUGGGGAAUUUUGGACAAUGGGCGCAAGCCUGAUCCAGCCAUGCCGCGUGCGGGAAGAAGGCCUUCGGGUUGUAAACCGCUUUUGUCAGGGAAGAAAAGGUUCUGGCUAAUACCUGGGACUCAUGACGGUACCUGAAGAAUAAGCACCGGCUAACUACGUGCCAGCAGCCGCGGUAAUACGUAGGGUGCAAGCGUUAAUCGGAAUUACUGGGCGUAAAGCGUGCGCAGGCGGUUAUGCAAGACAGAGGUGAAAUCCCCGGGCUCAACCUGGGAACUGCCUUGGUGACUGCAUGGCUAGAGUACGGUAGAGGGGGAUGGAAUUCCGCGUGUAGCAGUGAAAUGCGUAGAUAUGCGGAGGAACACCGAUGGCGAAGGCAAUCCCCUGGACCUGUACUGACGCUCAUGCACGAAAGCGUGGGGAGCAAACAGGAUUAGAUACCCGUGUAGUCCCAUGA